GCUCCUGUGGCGCAGUCGGUUAGCGCGAAGUGAGUGGUACUUAUAAUGCCGAGGUUGUGAGUUCGAGCCUCACCAGGAGCA
Oncorhynchus gorbuscha (pink salmon) is the source of this 81-nucleotide non-coding RNA. The record is from the annotation of a RefSeq genome assembly. NCBI's taxonomy places the organism in Eukaryota, Metazoa, Chordata, Actinopteri, Salmoniformes, Salmonidae.